GACGAACGCUGGCGGCGUGCCUAAUACAUGCAAGUAGAACGCUGAAGGAGGAGCUUGCUUCUCUGGAUGAGUUGCGAACGGGUGAGUAACGCGUAGGUAACCUGCCUGGUAGCGGGGGAUAACUAUUGGAAACGAUAGCUAAUACCGCAUAAUAGCAGUUGUUGCAUGAUAACUGUUUGAAAGGUGCAAUUGCACCACUACCAGAUGGACCUGCGUUGUAUUAGCUAGUUGGUGGGGUAACGGCUCACCAAGGCGACGAUACAUAGCCGACCUGAGAGGGUGAUCGGCCACACUGGGACUGAGACACGGCCCAGACUCCUACGGGAGGCAGCAGUAGGGAAUCUUCGGCAAUAGACGGAAGUCUGACCGAGCAACGCCGCGUGAGUGAAGAAGGUUUUCGGAUCGUAAAGCUCUGUUGUAAGAGAAGAACGAGUGUGAGAGUGGAAAGUUCACACUGUGACGGUAUCUUACCAGAAAGGGACGGCUAACUACGUG
This 495-nucleotide ribosomal RNA is filed under the name uncultured bacterium. RNAcentral describes it as "partial 16S ribosomal RNA". It matches the Rfam family "Bacterial small subunit ribosomal RNA", at positions 28 to 507 of the family's 1533-position model. The record is from RNAcentral.